RNAcentral lists this unclassified non-coding RNA (240 nucleotides) under soil metagenome. Its description in RNAcentral is "partial contains 5.8S ribosomal RNA, internal transcribed spacer 2, and large subunit ribosomal RNA". The record is from RNAcentral.
AACAAGGCGUACCUGCGGACCUGCGGAGGGAUCAUCAUUGAAAACAAAUUUGGACAAGGGGAUUGUGAUUGACGGGGGAGGGGAAGGUUUUAUUUCCUGAGCCUUGAGAGAACAACCUCUUGGACAAGCAACCAAUCUUCAUGACUAGGAAAAAACACAGUAAAGUAAACCAGUGGUUUGGGGGGGGGCAUAAACAACAAACAAGUUCUUGUCUGACAAGUAGUGUUUGGUGAUACUGAU